This 1088-nucleotide long non-coding RNA is filed under the name Ananas comosus (pineapple). RNAcentral's name for it is "long non-coding RNA (ACOM_LNC011137)". Lineage: Eukaryota; Viridiplantae; Streptophyta; Magnoliopsida; Poales; Bromeliaceae. The record is from RNAcentral.
AUUUGGAGGAAAGAAAUCUAGUUUGGCUCUAUUGAAAAAAGUGCUGACACAUGACAUAAUACAACUUGCGUGUCGUUUAUACAAUCAAAACAUUCAAGCAUUUACUGGAUAAAUUUUUCCGACACGUGAAUGGAUAAUUAUGAGGAAUAAUUUUUCUACUUAUUUAGUCUUAUUUGCUCAAUUGGCAGCAUUCAGAUGUAUACCCGAGGUGGCAAAGGGCUUGGUGGUUGGUUCCCGAGGUCCCAAGAUCGAAUCCUAGUUGAUUCAUAUUUCCAGCUAAGUUUAUUUAUAAAUAAAAUAAACGAAGCUAUCUCUCAAAAAAAAAAAAAGAAAAAGCAUUCAGAUGUAUACUUCUCUAAUAUAAUAGCAUUAAAUAUUUAUCAUCCCAUGUACACGAGAUCAAGCUCUAAACCGAGGGUCCUAUUUGGUUCAGGGAUAAUGAACAUUGAGAUAAAUUUUUUAUCUUUGGUUUAGCUUACUAUUUCGGAAUAGUCAGAAAUAAAAAUAAAAUUGUGUUUGGUUUGUAAUAUUGCUAUUCUUGAAUAACUGAAAUUGUAUUUGGUUAAUUUUAUAAAAUAGUAGAGGAUAGUGAAAAAUGUGAUAAAUGAAUUUGAUAUAAAAUAUAAUUUAACAAAAAUAAUGUAUUAUAAAAAUAUUAUAUUAUAAUAUUUAAUAAAAACAAUUUUUUACAAAAUUAAUUUUAUUUUUUGCAGUUUUACUUAAACUUAAAUUUAACAAAAAAUAAUUUAUUAUAAUAUUUAAGUAUAAUUUAUUGUAAUAAUUUGUUAUAAUAUUAAAAUAUAAAUAAUAUAUAUUAAUAUAGUACAAUUAAUAAUUAUAUAAAAAUAAUUUAUUAUAAUAAAUAAGAUAUAAUUUCUAUAAAAUUUAGUUUAAUUCAAUUUAUAAUCUUAAUAAAGCUAGAGCUUGGAAUUAACAUUGGAAUAGUACCAUUCCACCAAAAUGGUGGAAUAGUUUAUCCCAAGCUAUUCCAAAAUAAUUGGGAAUAAUAAGGUUCGAUCGGUAUAAAAUAUUUCGGUUAAAAAAACAUCCCGUUUGGUGAAAAUAGCAGGUAUAAUUUUCGUUGUUCC